This 393-nucleotide ribosomal RNA is filed under the name Papilio alphenor alphenor. RNAcentral's name for it is "partial 16S ribosomal RNA". Lineage: Eukaryota; Metazoa; Arthropoda; Insecta; Lepidoptera; Papilionidae. The record is from RNAcentral.
AUUUUGACUGUACAAAGGUAGCAUAAUCAAUAGUCUCUUAAUUGGUGACUUGUAUGAAAGAUUGGAUGAAAUAUAAACUGUCUCUAGUUAAUUUAUAGAAAUUAAUUUUUUAGUAAAAAAGCUAAAAUAAUUUUAAAAGACGAGAAGACCCUAUAGAGUUUAAUAAUUUAUUUAAUUAUUGUUAAUAUAUAAUUUUUAAAAUUAUAAUAAAAUAAAUUAUUUUGUUGGGGUGAUAGAAAAAUUAAAUUAACUUUUUUUAUUUAUUAACAUUGAUUUAUGAUUAAAUGAUCCAUUUAUAAUGAUUAAAAGAAAAAAUUACCUUAGGGAUAACAGCGUAAUUUUUUUUUUUAGUUCAAAUAGGAAAAAAAGUUUGCGACCUCGAUGUUGGAUUAA